UUAGAAUGAAGGCUUAACUUAUAUCAAAUAGAUCAUUUUUCUCAUUUUUUUUCAUAUACUUUCUCAUGUUUUCAACAGAAAAGGAGGAAAAAGGAGAAACUUUUUUGGUUUCUCUUCUAUCUCUCUCCAUCACUUCCUCUUACACCCUCUCCAUCUCUUUGCCUCAGUACAAUAACAAUAACUUUAACAACACAAACUUCACAUCAUAGUACA
Molecule: long non-coding RNA, 213 nt
Filed under: Lathyrus oleraceus (garden pea)
Lineage: Eukaryota; Viridiplantae; Streptophyta; Magnoliopsida; Fabales; Fabaceae
Description: Pisum sativum (pea) long non-coding RNA (PSAT_LNC024557)
Source: RNAcentral